UACGUAGGGGGCAAGCGUUGUCCGGAAUCAUUGGGCGUAAAGAGCGCGUAGGCGGCCCGGUAAGUCCGCUGUGAAAGUCAAGGGCUCAACCCUUGAAUGCCGGUGGAUACUGUCGGGCUAGAGUCCGGAAGAGGCGAGUGGAAUUCCUGGUUUAGCGGUGAAAUGCGCAGAUAUCAGGAGGAACACCAAUGGCGAAGGCAGCUCGCUGGGACGGUACUGACGCUGAGGCGCGAAAGCGUGGGGAGCAAACAGG
This 253-nucleotide ribosomal RNA is filed under the name uncultured bacterium. RNAcentral describes it as "partial 16S ribosomal RNA". It matches the Rfam family "Bacterial small subunit ribosomal RNA", at positions 524 to 776 of the family's 1533-position model. The record is from RNAcentral.